UACGGAGGGGGCUAGCGUUGUUCGGAAUUACUGGGCGUAAAGCGCACGUAGGCGGCCUUGUAAGUUAGAGGUGAAAGCCCAGGGCUUAACCCUGGAAUUGCCUUUAAGACUGCAUCGCUAGAAUCGUGGAGAGGUGAGUGGAAUUCCGAGUGUAGAGGUGAAAUUCGUAGAUAUUCGGAAGAACACCAGUGGCGAAGGCGACUCACUGGACACGUAUUGACGCUGAGGUGCGAAAGCGUGGGGAGCAAACAGG
RNAcentral lists this ribosomal RNA (253 nucleotides) under uncultured bacterium. Its description in RNAcentral is "partial 16S ribosomal RNA". It matches the Rfam family "Bacterial small subunit ribosomal RNA", at positions 524 to 776 of the family's 1533-position model. The record is from RNAcentral.